This is a long non-coding RNA of Canis lupus familiaris (dog), 3420 nucleotides long. RefSeq lists it as uncharacterized. The record is from RefSeq and is a predicted model, not a curated record. The transcript is spliced from 3 exons. NCBI's taxonomy places the organism in Eukaryota, Metazoa, Chordata, Mammalia, Carnivora, Canidae.
CCCUCACUCAACCCUGAGCCCUUCCAGCUAGCCAGCAAUGGAGGAAGGGGCCCAAGGGCAGGGAUCGUGCUGUCUGCACAUAGACAUGCACACAGUCCCCCACCAUUGACCCAACAACAGUCCCCUGCCUUGCGGUACUGGGGAGAUCGUGCGGGAGAGGACUCCACGCCACCCUGGGGGAGUGCACAGGAGCUGGGCCAAUGUGAAACGAGAGCAGGAAGGCGACCAAGUGGGGCACUGAGGGCCCUUCUAGAAGGAACUGCUAGACUACCUCAGACUUAAAAAACAGGUGGAGGACAGGAUCAGCCCAUUUCAUGGAAGGGAACACUGAGGCCCCAAGCAGGAGGUAUGCCCUGACCUGGGGCUCUGGGGAGUGAUCUGGGACCCCUCUAUAAAGACAGAGGCUUCCUCGCCAAGCACCUUCUUCAGGCCAGAUGUCCUCCUUCAAAGAAGAGUCCAAGGAUCAGGAGGGCCCUUCCUCUCUGUGUGACCUUGGCAUAUGGCCUCUGAGUCUGUUUCUCUGUCUGUAACACGGAACCAGGAGGAUAAUAAUUAUGUUAAAAAUGGAGGACGUCCUGUGUGCCAGACGCUACAUACAUGCCUUGUCUCACUGCCUCUUCCUACACACCUUCUGAAAGAAGAGGAUUAUUGGCCCAUUUAGAACAAACAAUUUGAUAAGCAGGUUUGACCCAGAGAAAACUGAUGCCCUUUCCAUUUGGGAUCCUCUGGAUUUAGACUAACGUUUCCCAAAGUAACGUCUGAGCUGACAUCAACCUGGGAUCAGAGCCUACACACUUACUUAGGACCUCUCUCCCAGUGGACAAUGGAUAGAGGUAAGGCCACUGAGACUCGGGGAAGUCAAGUCACCUCCCUCAGGUCACAAGACCAAUAAGCAACAGAGCCAGGAUUUGAAAACAGGUCUGUGGGACUCCAAAGCCUGGCUCUCCCAACACUGGCCAAGGGCUCCAAGGGCCAAGGAAGGAGGGAUUAUAGCAGCAGGACGAGGUCCAGUCCAGCCCAGCCUAGGGGAGCCCUCUAAGUUUCCCAAGCAUCCUGGGUCGGGGGGGCAGCUCUCAGGCUCUGGGCAAAACACGUGAAGGCGCUGUUGCAGAGGACUCUGCAGCUGUACCCUGAGGCCCAGGAAAAGACAGGGGAAGGGGCUGCGGGUGGGCCGGACGGGCCAGGCUGGGCCAGAGCUCCGGGCAUUCCGGCGGCCUCCGCAGGAAGCAGAAUGGGACGGAAACCGGCUCCUGCCUCCUCCCCCAGAAUCCUGUGGGCAGCCCAGCCAGGCCGCACAGAGGCCGUCUUUGUGCCUGCCCCAACCCGCCACCCGCGGCUGGCCCAGGGUUUUGAGUUUCCUGGGGGGUGGGGGCCCUGUCACCGCUAAACCUCCAGCUACCUCCUCCUCUCGAGGGUGGUCACAGCAGUCCACAGCUGGUGAAGGAAGUGUGUGGACGGCCAGGGCUACCCCAGAGACUCUGGGGGGCCUGCAGUCGGCCCACAUCUCAUACCCCCAACGUUUAUAUGCCCUAACUGGGGGGCUGGCAGUAGGCAAGGACCCAGAGAGAACCUGAGAAGGCCAUCCCCCCUGAGCCUGCCCUCCCUGCCAGAAGCCACAAGUCCCACCCCAAUGUACCGGAAUCCCCCCAUCUCACUCCAUCUUGGUGUUACUGGGUCCAGGUUGACGUUCAUAAAGAGGCUGGCCAGGAUGGUGGGACAGUCUGUCUGUCAAGCACCAUUUCCCACUCUCCAGGGGCUCCCUGGACACACAGAACACAUCCAGGGGGAGGCCUCAAGCCCACUUCAGCAUUUCAGGGACAGAAGCCUCUUGGGUGGUAUAAAUGUGCUCAAGGAACACUGGACCCCAGGGAGUGAGCUCUGGCUGGAGUGCAUAUAGCGAGGAGCAGCACUACAGACCAGUGUAUCUGCCUACGUCCACCGAGAAGGUGUGUCAGAUACCAGACAUGCUGUGUGUGUGUGUGUGUGUGUGUGUGUGUGUGUGUGUGUCUUGGGGCCGGAGCUGUGGGUGAGCCGAGGGUUAUGUGCACAGCCUCAGAUGUCACCCUGUGGGUCUGAAUGCUGGUGUAUACACAGGGCUUAUAUACCAGUGUAGGUAAAGGUCUCUGUGUGACCUCCUUGUGUGUACAAAUGGAGCGUAUGCUAUCUGUACCCCUGGAUGUAAGCAUGAGUGUCAAGCACACCAUGCUUGAGUGUGCUUGUGUGUACAGUACAGUGGUUUACAGGAGGCUGGCUGAUGUGUGUGGGUUCUUCUGGUCUGUGAGUGUUGAUACAUCAUUACCAUGUGUAUACCAGUGUGUGCGUGUGUGUCUGUGCGUGCAUGUGCACACACUGUCAGCUGUAUCGGGGCUUCUGAGAUGUGAGUGAAGAGACCAACUGGGAUGUGGACGGUGCAGACAGGAACUGAUGCCAGGUGCUGGGGCCCCUAUGGAAACAGGAAGCUGCCCACAGGUGUGCUUGGGCUGUGGUGGGGGCUGGGCUCCACCCAUGUUCAAUUUGUACCCCUGAGAAACCAACCCAGGCCUCUACUAGCCCAAAGCCGGUCCCAGCCAGAGAGAGGCACCUUCCCUGCCUACCUCAAGACCUAACAACUCUGACCAGCGUCUACCCGCCUGCCUGGCCUGAGCAUGGAAAAAACUGGAAAACAAAAGCCCCCAGACCGCAGGCCCUCCCUGCAGAGGCGUGGGGGAGGCAGGCAAGAGGCAGGAGGCUGAGGAGGAAGGAGGGAGGUGUCGCCGCAGCCCCGGAACACAAAAAUAAUGAGGCGAGAGGGGCCAUGGGGCCUAGCCGGCUGGUUCCGGAGUCGCUAUCUGACCUUGACAGAUGCCACAGCUGGGCGCCUGGAGAGGAGCCGCCACAGUGCAGAACACCCCCCACCCCCGCCACCUCCCCCAGGCCAGGUCGAUGGAUGUCCAGGCAGGCCCCAGCCACAGGCAGCCACCCCACCAGGUGGAAGAAGGGAGUGCGUCCCAGUUGGGGGGGGUAGGGGGAGGGUAUGAAGCAAGGCAGUGGGGGCAGGGCACUGCAGGGCCCAGGAGGCAGCAAUGUGGUCUCCUGAGGGCACCCUGGCCCUCAGGUAUGGUUCUGUGUGGAGAAACACAGAGCAUGCUAUUAUUGUGCCUGUGUAGCUGUGAGCCUGAGUGUGUGUGGGGACGGGAAGCAGAGUGUGGCUGUGUGACAGAGACAAAGAUCAUAUUUGUGUGUGUCCUUAGGGUCACACAAGGCUGGAGAGUCCAGCUAAUGUCCCUGAAGUAGGUGUGGCCACAUCACUCAGGGGUGGGCACUGAUCACUCCCCUGCUCCCGCCCCCCUUCCAGAGCCACAGCUGUCCUGGAGGGUGCAAGCCACGCUGGGGCCAAAAGAGGGAAGGAGGACAAAGAGAGCCACAGCCCCCCCCCCCCCC